RNAcentral lists this ribosomal RNA (506 nucleotides) under uncultured bacterium. RNAcentral's name for it is "partial 16S ribosomal RNA". It matches the Rfam family "Bacterial small subunit ribosomal RNA", at positions 29 to 523 of the family's 1533-position model. The record is from RNAcentral.
AGUGAACGCUGGCGGUAGGCCUAACACAUGCAAGUCGAACGGCAGCACAGGAGAGCUUGCUCUCUGGGUGGCGAGUGGCGGACGGGUGAGGAAUACAUCGGAAUCUACUUUUUCGUGGGGGAUAACGUAGGGAAACUUACGCUAAUACCGCAUACGACCUACGGGUGAAAGCAGGGGAUCUUCGGACCUUGCGCGAUUGAAUGAGCCGAUGUCGGAUUAGCUAGUUGGCGGGGUAAAGGCCCACCAAGGCGACGAUCCGUAGCUGGUCUGAGAGGAUGUGCAGCCACACUGGAACUGAGACACGGUCCAGACUCCUACGGGAGGCAGCAGUGGGGAAUAGUGGACAAUGGGCGCAAGCCUGAUCCAGCCAUACCGCGUGGGUGAAGAAGGCCUUCGGGUUGUAAAGCCCUUUUGUUGGGAAAGAAAUCCAGCUGGUAAAUACCCGGUUGGGAUGACGGUACCCAAAGAAUAAGCACCGGCUAACUUCGUGCCAGCAGCCGCCGUAA